CAGCCGCCACGGUAAUACAGAGGGUGCGAGCGUUAAUCGGAUUUACUGGGCGUAAAGCGUGCGUAGGCGGCUUUUUAAGUCGGAUGUGAAAUCCCUGAGCUUAACUUAGGAAUUGCAUUCGAUACUGGGAAGCUAGAGUAUGGGAGAGGAUGGUAGAAUUCCAGGUGUAGCGGUGAAAUGCGUAGAGAUCUGGAGGAAUACCGAUGGCGAAGGCAGCCAUCUGGCCUAAUACUGACGCUGAGGUACGAAAGCAUGGGAAGCAAACAGGAUUAGAUACCCCCGUAGUCCCUGUCUCUUAUAC
Molecule: ribosomal RNA, 301 nt
Filed under: uncultured bacterium
Lineage: Bacteria
Description: partial 16S ribosomal RNA
Rfam family: Bacterial small subunit ribosomal RNA
Source: RNAcentral